CUGGCAGUCAGAUGACUCUGAGCCUCAGUUUGUCCAUUUGCGAUGGAAGGAGAACCCGCCGCCCCUCCCCCUGCCGCACCAGGACGUGACGAAGCUCCAUUUUCAUCAUCUGAUAGCAGGAACAGCAUCUGAGGACGGCGGAUGAAUUGCAAACCUGUGCAGUUACAGGCCCCGCCCAGCCCUGGCCUGCCUGCUGGGAGCCUGUGAGCCUCUCGCCGCACCGGAAGUCAGCCCCCGGGACCGAGCCUCUGACUUCCAACCAACCCCCAAGGCCAAGGGACAGGAGAGGAGCCGGAGGCUGGCCCUCAGAUCCAGGGUCCUGGGGGAGCACCAGUGUCAGUGGGCCUGGUUGUACAAAUGAGUGGUGUCUCCUCUCUCCGUCCUGGUGUCUUGUUAAGGAGGGAAUAGAGACGAUGCUGAAUAGUGGUGGUACUUUCCCAGCUCCAGCAUCAGCUCUUUUUCUCCCAGGCAGUUAACUGUCUCACAGCAGACAGGAUCCAGGUGACACUGCUGUCCCUGCAUUCAGCCACAUUCAACCCCAACCAUUCAUCCGUCCGUCUAAUGUCUGUUCAGGUUCUUCUUAGUGCCAAGCACGGUCCAGGCACUGGCUCUUAGCAAGGAACAGAGAAAGGUCCUUGCCUUCGGGGAGCCCCGGUUAACGGAGAACCCAAAGGAAGAGGUCCAUGCGUCUAGCACAGAGCGAAGGGGCUCGGUCAGGGCGAGUCCAGAUCUGAGACCCUCAGUUCCUGUGAGAGACCUGGCGACCUGCUCACGAGGCUUCAGGCAACCUCCUUCUCUGCCACCAUCUAGCUGGGUGACCCGGGGCCAGUUUCUCCGUGCCCAUCAGUCAUCUCAAUCUACCAGAGGAGAUGGUCCUCGGGGGUCCCACCCGCCUCCCAGGAUGGUGGCGAGACUCAGGUCUGUACUUCACGGAGUGAGGCCUGUGUUGGCGAGCCUGCUGUUCCCCGGGCUGGACCGUGAUCAGGUUAAGAGGAAGUUUCCCUCCCUGGUCCCCUGCUGCCAGCUGCUUUCCUCCUAAGCCAUUCACCUGUGCCAACUUUUCUUUUUCCUACACUCGCGUCAAAACUUACCAGUCCCACAGGCAUCCUGGUAAGACUCUGCUCAUUAUUUUCCCAAGUGGCAAUUGCCUUACCCUGGUCCCAGACACUGAUGUCUUCCUAAGAUCUGACCCUGGACUUUCCAAGGAGCCCAUGGCCACUGCAGGACUCCAGGAGGAGGAGUGUCAAGCAAUGUGGAAAAGGAGGGAGGUUCUGGGCCAGGUGGGCAGGUGAGAUGGGGUGGGAAGGGCUCCCCAAGCCACUCUCUGAGGGCAGCCUCAUUCUCUGCCUUUUCCCAUGGGAGCCUCUGAGCCAGCAUCCUGGAGACCUCGGGACACUCAGCCCCAGCCAGCCCUGACAGACCUGUCCCCAUGGUGCAUGGCACAGGGGUUCAUUUAGAUGACAAGGACCCCUGACCUCCUUCCGCUAGUGACGAUGACCGGGCAGGAGAGCUGGCAAAUGCCAGGGAGCCAAAAGACACAAAGAGAAAUGGCCCUUAUGGUGCUAAGAAUGGUGAAGUUUGGUUUCCCCAUCACCCCUUCAUCUCAGGUGUGUCAAGAGAAUCUGCUCACCCCUACUUCACAAUCCCAAUCCCAAUCCCUCUACAAAGAGGAGAGGGAAAGAACUCAACUCCAUCUACAGAGGGGAAGACAGAGGUCCUGAAAGUCACCUAGAGACUCAGCAUUGGCUUUCUCCUUCCCUCCCACCCACCUCCCAUAGGGUCACCAU
Delphinapterus leucas (beluga whale) is the source of this 1787-nucleotide non-coding RNA. The record is from RefSeq and is a predicted model, not a curated record. Lineage: Eukaryota; Metazoa; Chordata; Mammalia; Artiodactyla; Monodontidae.